Molecule: ribosomal RNA, 497 nt
Filed under: uncultured bacterium
Lineage: Bacteria
Description: partial 16S ribosomal RNA
Rfam family: Bacterial small subunit ribosomal RNA
Source: RNAcentral
GAUGAACGCUGGCGGCGUGCCUAAUACAUGCAAGUCGAGCGAACAGAUGAGGAGCUUGCUCCUCUGACGUUAGCGGCGGACGGGUGAGUAACACGUGGAUAACCUACCUAUAAGACUGGGAUAACUUCGGGAAACCGGAGCUAAUACCGGAUAAUAUAUUGAACCGCAUGGUUCAAUAGUGAAAGGCGGUUUUGCUGUCACUUAUAGAUGGAUCCGCGCCGCAUUAGCUAGUUGGUAAGGUAACGGCUUACCAAGGCAACGAUGCGUAGCCGACCUGAGAGGGUGAUCGGCCACACUGGAACUGAGACACGGUCCAGACUCCUACGGGAGGCAGCAGUAGGGAAUCUUCCGCAAUGGGCGAAAGCCUGACGGAGCAACGCCGCGUGAGUGAUGAAGGUCUUCGGAUCGUAAAACUCUGUUAUUAGGGAAGAACAAAUGUGUAAGUAACUAUGCACGUCUUGACGGUACCUAAUCAGAAAGCCAUGGCUAACUACGUG